CAAGAGGGCAAAAGAGCCCCAGAAGCAUCGUUUCUUUCCGGACCCGGUUCUCUCUUCCUUUGCCCUCCAGGGGCCGCUGCGUUUUCCCGAAAGCGCGCGGGAGGUCUGGUUGCCGCGAGACCGUCGCCAGGCAACCGCGUGUACACACACUUCUGGCCGGCCGGGGUCUCGUCAAUAUGGCGGCGCCAGGCACCCCCUCGACCUCUCCCCUCGACCUGUCUCCCACAUCUGUGUCCCCUCCAGGACCGCCGCCGACCCCGCCCCCGACCUCGAACGCGCUCUCGAAGUCGCCCCUGGAGUCGAAGGCGAGCUCCCAGAGCCCACUGUCUCGCUCGACCUGCCAGGAGACCUCGUUGCCCCUCGCCGUGUUUUACGGGCCAUUGGACGCUAAAAACCCGCUUCUGGCCUCCUGCGAGAGGGAGAUCCGGGAAUUACUAGGCUUUAUGAGGAGAAAGAAGGCGUUAGCGACAACAGAGGAACAGAAGCAUGAAUUCCACCGGCUUUGUGCCACCUCUUUGUUUAAUAUCUGGACCAAAUAUGCCCCACGGCUGCCAGCUGCCUAUUACAAUGAAAAGCUUCUGAAGGUUGGAGAUAGCCUUUGUGAAAUAAAAGAAUAUAAAUUGGCCCUUUUACAGUGCUAUGGAAGGUACCUUCAGCAGUUCCAUGUCAACUUUGAUGAGAAUAAAGCAGAUGUGAAUCAAUUCAAAACUGCCUUUUUUCCAAAAGGCCUUGGAGACAAAACUUCUGCUCAUACAUUUCAUGCUUUAAGUGGCAAAAAUAUUUGCAACUAUGAACUGGUCUGUGACAAUGAUGUGAACCUGCAGAAUAAAGAAUCUGUGACCCAGUGCCUGCAGAUUUUGUCCUCCUUAAGACUCAUCAUGCAGGUGGCUUUGCCACUGGAACACCUUUGCUGGAUUAUUUUCAACGGUACCAUUUACAUUUACACCAUUUGCAGAAAACUGAUGAUCAUAGGUCAGUCUUCCAAGGCCUUGGAAUACCUCCUGUGGGCCAGUAUGUGUAUGGAGUUCUCGGUCCCGCUCCUGUCUGUCAGGUACCUGACGUGGCGGGCUACUCUUUACACUGCCGUCUGCCAGUGCUAUUAUGACUGCCAAGCUGGUGUUCAUGCAGAGGCAUUUGCUCGGCGUGCUUUAGCUAAAAUUGAUGAGUUAAGGCAACUGGAAUUAAUGAGUUCCUCACAAUCGCAGGAAGAAUCCAGAAGAUACUAUAGAGAGGCCACCAUAAAGAUGGCAGUGAUGAUCUUCAAAAGAGGAGUAUUUGAAUCUAGAAGGAAACACAAAGGUUUGUUUAGACCAAAGAUAAGAGUGAACCUAAGGGAAGCUCAAACUUUGCCAUGGCCACGUACUGUCACAGAGCGGUUGUUGGAUGAGAUGUUUGAUAGCACCGCAUCCCGGUUUCUGGCUGUCUUAGAAGCUCUUUCUGAUUCAAAUAGGCGUACUCUACAAACUGGACCUAUUGUUACAGAUGAAGUAGAAGUUCGUGAUGUUGUCUCAGAACUGUUUAUGGCAGGAAAAGAACUUUUAAUAAUGUCAAAUACUGGUGCAGAUGGAAUGCUUGAUUUUCCACAAACAUCUCUUCUGCAACUUAUUAUAAAAGGAAAAAAUGUUAUUCCUAUAGAUGCUGCUGUGAAAUUUAUAAAACUAGCUUUUACUUAUGAGGAAUGGAGUUUAUUUGAAUCUUCAGCUGGGCAGCUUAUUGAUUUUCUCCAGAGGCAGGAUGAUCCAGAGUCAAAGAAAGCAGAAAAGGAUUUAACUCUUCUAAUUGCAAUAGAACCUUUAAUCAAUGUAAAGAGAAACAAAGGUAUGGUCUUUCCCAUGGAAAACUACAAAGAAGGACAGUCAGCUCAAAUUUAUGUUAAAAAAAUCGGUUUUCAUGAUACUUGUAAGACUUAUGGAUAUUCAGAAGACAUUUUCCACUUGGCAGCAACCUUGUACUCCUGUGUCUGUGCCUCUCCCCAGAAUGUUCAGCCUGAUAAAGAAAUCGUUGUGGACACGAUAAUGUUCCUAUGGCAGAAAUGCAAAUUAGGAAUUCAGAGGAUCAAUAUGUCCAGAAAUGACUAUGCAAAAUUCACCCAGAAAAUCAGCACUAAUAAAUGGGUUUAUCUUCUGUGGCAGAUAAAUGAAGUAAUUCACUGCUAUAAAAUGGAAGACAUUGACGUUGUGGUGGUGGCAGAGGUCACAUUACAAUUAAGUGAAAUAUUGGAGUCAUUAGGAAACCCACGAAAAAAAUUUAAAAAAUCUCUAGAGAUAUCUUUAAGGAAAGGGACUGGUGAAUUCCUUGAGACUUCAAAAGGGAGCCUGGAAAUUCUCCCAAUAUUGAAGAAAAAACCCGUGGAACAGUUAUUUUUGGCUUAUGAACUUCUUGACAAAGCAAUUGGUGGAAUAAAUUUGAAUUGCAAGUUAAGUACUUUGCCAAAUGGAUCAUCAGUGAUUGACCAUUGCUAUGCCAAGUAUACCCAAGAUAUAGAUGGAGACAUCUGCAAACCAGUCACACAGAAUAGUUUCAUGAUGGAUUUACAUCUUGAACUAAUUCAAGCCCAGCACCGAAUAGCUGUUGUGCUUCUUGACCAAUUGCAAGUUUUGCAGACUCCAGCUGCUAGCAAGCAUGUAUCUGCCAAAGAUCCAAAAAAACUGAAACAAUCUAGAAGCAUUGACUGUUUUACAGAAUUAAGUGUAAUGAAUAAAAUAAAGAAGAAUAAGCUGUCCAAAGCGAUUUACUUGAUGCAGAAAGCUCUUCUAGUAUUUGAAAAAGAUGCAGCCUCUACAUGUUCACACAACUUUUUGAUGGAAGCAUAUUCUUUAAUUGAGAAGAUUGAAACAGAACAAAAUGCCCUAUAUUCAUAUCAAAAAUAUGUGGAGAGUUCGAAAAGAAAGAAAAGCAGAAUCCCUCCCCCACCUAUCCUGCUAUCCCGAACUCAUUGUUCUGUGACAUUGAAACCUGCUCCAUUUAUUUCAGAUGUUAAGGUCUCCUGGUACUGCAUUUUGGGUUGCAAAGCAGAAGGAAGCUAUGGAAAAGUAAGGCUAAACAAUAAUCAUCUCCCAAACUCAGGAGAAGCGAUACCAGCUGAUGGUAAAAGCAUUUUUGAAGUGAAAGGUUUAGAAACAAAUGAAAAAUAUGUCUUUGCAAUUGCUGCUUAUUCUUCUAACGGGAAGCUUAUUGGUGAUGCCAUUGGGGAGACAACUAAACCAAUUCUGGUUUAUCCACCUCUUUCUGCUGUUACUACUCGGAUGUUCUUGACGCAGGUUGCCUAUCAGAUUGGUAACUAUGAGUUGGCUAAGAAGGUUUUCUUACCAGUUUGGGAUUAUUUUGUUGCUUCACCACAUCAUGAUGAACAAUCUGUUAUUUGCUUAAGCAAUAUAAUGACUAUUACACAGAGAAGAUUACAUUCAGAUAUUUUGGCAGAGACUUCUUCAAUCCUCUUAUACCUUUUUCUUAGAAAUAUUUUUGUAACAAGUGACAUUAAAAUUAAAGAAGAAAAUCUUUUCUGUGAUAAUAUUAAAGGCAAUGAGAUUUUCCCCUCUCAACAAAUUGCUAGAUUAAUUGAAUGUGAGAGAAUAUUAGUGGCAUUGGACCUUAGCAACUACCUAAAUGAUUCCAGUUAUGCCCUUCAAGCUGUGACUCAGUGUUAUGGCCUCCUUGCUCCUGUAAUCUACCACAAUGUUGUUUUGGUACCUGUUGUACAGAUCUUGAUAAAGUGUGUGGUGGUUUUGCAGGGACUACCAAACAUUGUCCACUCAAAGAAACAUUUUGCAAGUUUUGAAAGUGUACAGCACAUGAUAGCUUGUUGUGUCUUCUACAUAACAAAGAUUUUGCGUUCAUGGAAAGAAUAUGACCUGGCAGUUAUGAUUAUAAAUUAUGGAAAAAAGAUGUUAGACAUCACAUCAGGGUGCAAAUCUCUAUUUGGUGUGACUGACCAAGAAGAAACACAAGAGGAGGGUUCUUCUAAGAAGUCUUACAAGCCUAAGAAGCCACAGCAGAUAUUAUUACCUGAAAAAAUAAAUGAACAGCUGGCCUUGUUGGAGACCCACCUACUCAAACUGACGAAGCAAUAUGUUACAACUGAACUCUCAGGAACAGAGGACCCUGUAUUUCUUUACCCUAUUGUUUUAAACUGGUCGGUCAAAGGUGCUGUGAAAGAAGUUAUGAAAUUUAAGCAGAGACCUAGAUUCCUAGAAUUCUUUACACAAGUUAUGCUAAAAUGUAUGAACGAUGAAAAAUUUCAUCUUAUGGUGGAGAUAACAAAUCCUGUUUAUGACUUCUUAAAAAGGAGGAAUGAAUCCCUACUUGGAAUUAAAAGAACAAAAUAUAAAGACAAUAUUUUGUGUAAAAAGACAGGCAAACCUUUGAAGAAGUUCAAAGCUGCAGUAAUGGAGAUUGGAAGAACUAUAGAAAUGAUGCCAACAAAAAGAAGUAAAAGAAAGGAAACUCUAAGAGAAUUUUUUUCUAAAAAUCCAUCUAUUGCUGAAAUGAUGGAACAUGAAAGAAAUAAGAGAACUGAUGUUAGAAAACUUGCCUAUCGAUCCCUGGUGGAGAACUUGAAUCCUAUAAUAUUAAAUUUUGUGAAAAGGAAGAGGUUCCAUCAACUAUUUCUUGAGGAGAUGCCCUGGAGAGCUCAGAUGAACCUAUAUCUGGCAAGUGCACACUUCUCCCUGCUUUUAACGAAACUAGCGGAACGAACGAAGAUGAAAUUUGGCACUUCACACACAGUGGUCAGUUUCCGAUCAUGUGAUCCUAAUAUGUUCUCACUAUAUAAUUCUGGAACAGUAUUACCAACAGUGAAAUUGACUCUAGAAAACUAUAAAGCAAUACUUGAUUUCCUUCAUACAGCUAAGAAAAGAAAGGCCAACUUACCAUCAGAUGCUGAGGAAUUUUCCACAUUUAUUAAUUCCAGAAUGAGUGGUGAAAACGUGUCAAAGACACAAACAGUUUAUGACUCAGACUCUCAGUCAGGUCUUAGUACUAAAGAAAAGGAUCGAGCAGCAAAUUUGGGUCUAUUGGAUCAUUUUAUGAAAAUCUUUUUAUAUUGCAGGAGAGCAAUGGUUCUUGCUCAUCGUGGAGGCUAUUGGACUCUGCUUCAGAAUAGCUGUAGGACCUUUUGGAACUUUACUCAGGAGCUACAGAUACUUCUUAAACAAGCAGUGGAUCUGUAUAAAACAUUUCCUGUUAGCCAGGAUGGUUUCCUCUGUACCUGUGUUUUGCCAUUCUAUUUGGGAGCAGAAUUACUUAUUGACAUGUUAAUAGAACUGCAAAAUACCAAUUCUAUUAAGGUUAUUGAAGAAAAAGGAGAGUUCAGUGUUCCAAGCUGCUAUGGAAAUAUUAAAAAUGAUCAUGGUGGUUCUAGCCUUAAUUUUGAGGAUCCGUUGGAUGAUGUAAAUGUGGUUGAUUUGAAAUGGAUCCACGACUUUGUGUUAAAGUCUCUGGAGGUUUUAUAUCAAGUGGAAAAAUGGGAGACACUAGUAUCACUUGCCAUCCAGUUCAAUACAAUUUCACAUGAGAGAUACACAGAGCAAGUGACACCGCUCCUGGUAUAUGCACAGCGCCAGCUUCUUCUAAGAAUAUCCAAGUUCAAUGGCCCAGAUGUUACCCAACAACCUUGUGCAAGAUAUGAAGCUGAAUAUGAAGAGAAGAUAACCUGCCGAAAUUUCAUUGGGAAGCAGCUCAAGAUUAAUCCUCCAACAAGUGAAGAGAAAGAUACAGGAAGCUGCACAGAUUUCUUUAAAAAGCUUAUCUAUUCAGAAUAUAGCCACGCCAAAGAGCUCAUCUGUGUGCCCGUGGACGUGACAGACACUUUGCGAUGUUUUAGACAGACUUUGGAAAAAUCCAAAUAUGAUAGCAGAUCAAUCCGACACAGCAGAAAAUUGCUUUCGUUAUUCCUUGCACAGACACAAGGAGAUAAAGGAGGAAUAAACAAUGAGAAAUUUACCACUGGAAAGGUGGAGUUUUGCCUGGGGACAGAAGAGAUGCAUAUGCCAACACCCCCUGACCUCUCUCAGGAACACUUUAGAGUUUUCAGUUCAGUGGAAAAAAGUAAACUUCCCUAUUCACAACUCGGACUCGUAAUUUCCUCUUAUUAUGAAACUAUUGAUGUUCUCCAAGCCUGCAAUAAAAGAAGUCUUAAAGUUCAGGCAUUGCAUGAACUGGGAAGCCUUCUCAUCUUUGCUGAAAAGAAAAGGGCUGCUUUUAAAUGUUGGUGCCAAGCUCUUGAUGACAUAUUCAGGAAACAAGAUGUGCUGCAUACAUGGAAAGAGUUUGGUAGCUCACUCACCAAUGCUACCAAUAGCUAUUUACCUCCAGGUUCCAAAGAUUAUAGUGAGGAAUUUCUGUCAAAUGUUGGCAUUUGGGGAUGUUUGCAAGGAGCGGUCAUAUCAGCAAAGAUAGCUCAAUUUAUUAAGAUCUCAGAGGUUGACGAGAGAACCAACUGUUGCAUUUUGUCUGCAUUACUCUUUCAGGGUUUGCUCAGAACCACACUUCCACACCCCAAAGCGGAACGUUGCUAUGCUCAGUAUGAAAUCACUCAGCUUCUCCCAGGCAUCGAGCUCUUCUCGGACAGAUACAGGGCUGACAUUUGCUCUGUAGUUGCAAGUCUGUAUUACGUUAUACGUGAACUGCACUUUGCUAAGCAAAAUCUAAUAGUUCUGCCUCUCCUUGCAUUGUAUCAGUAUUUUGUUUCUGGAAUUUGCCAAGACCUAGUCAGAAAUCUAGAAGCAAGGAUCCUUAAGAUAGAAGUCCUUACAGAUUUAGGAUUUUUUUCUGAAGCCUUUUAUGAGAUAUCCCAGAUUUUUUAUGGAAAAAACAUGCCUUCCUCAAUACCUGCAGGCUGUAAAGCUACUGGAAAAGUGAAGAUAUUUCAAUCAUUUGACUCAGGAAAACCUCUUACUAGUAAAGAAAAUUUACAGGCACUUGAUGAAUUAAUAAGUAAAGGAUUGCCUCUAAUUCUGGUUACAGUUGGCCAACCACAUCUCCUAAAUAAGUUUUCUUUCAUUAAAGCCUACUUUUUAAUAAGUGUGGCUGCAACAAUAAAUUGUGUCCCAGAAAAUUCAAUGAAAACAAUCUACCAUGGACUUGUUUCUGAGAAGAGUAGAGCAAACUUUCAAAACUUGAAAGAAUUAUGUUUAAAGGACGAGGGAAUCUCAUUUGGUCAGUUUGCAAAAAUUAAAGAUGACUUCACACUUAGCACAAUAAAGUCAGCUUUACUGACAGAAGCUGAGGACAGGCUAAACUUCCUUGUGUCAGAGAUGGAGCAUCCAGGCCACAAGGACCUGUCCCAGUGUUCUGCUGGUGAGUUGGAGAUUGUGGUAGAGGCCAGGCUUCAGCUGGCUGCAAUUGCCCUGCAAAGACACCGGGCCGCAUACAGUGCUGCAAUAGUAUUUUCCACACUUAGACUUCUCCAGGAUUCAAAACUUUUUAAAAAGAAGGUAGUACAAGAUGACACAGAGAAUUCCAUCUCUCUGGGAGCUUCUGCAACUGAAAAUAAAGAUGAUGGUGAGUUUCUAGAUCCUACUUCCCUAAAUUCUCGAGAACAUUUCAACAUUCAUCUGUGGUUGAGAUGCCGCCUAGCAUUGGUGACCGCCUUUGUUGCACAGAUUCAUGGCGUUGGAAUUGUGACAGAAAACAAUAUGACAGAUUACCUCAGCCUCAUCAACGAGGGGUGCAUGGAAGCAAAAAGUGCAGGCGACAGGGAGCUACAAGCUGAAUUCUUGAUGCAAGCUGUAAUCAUUGGCCUACAAGAAAAGCAUUUAAAGGCAGACAUCAUAACAAACCUUCAGGCUGUAAUACAUUUGCUUGAAGAAAGUGAAUUUAUUUCCCCUCGAUCUCAUUUAACCCUGGUGAGAAGCAUGCUUUUGCUGGAUGACUUAACAAAAGCUGAGAAAUUCAAGGAAACUCCUUCUUCAAAAACAGAAAAAUUAUGUUUGUUGACUCAGGCUCACAACAUUCUUAUUGAACAGAUGCUAACUUUUGGAGAAACGAUUGAAUUUCCUUUAUCAAACACUGACUCUGCAAGUCCAUCGCAUCCUUUGAAAAAUAUCUAUCUUCCCCAUGUCAUGUUAUUGGCCAAAACAAAAAUGAGGAUUGGACAUACAGUGGCCAAACAAGUCUAUUAUACCAGUAAAAAGAAGGAUCCCUCGAAGUGGUUACCUGCCCUUCAUCUUUUUGAAAUGGCACGGAAGCUCUGUAAGGUAGCAGCAGCAGAAGAACAUGAGGUAGAGGCAGAAAUUCUUUUUCAGAAAGGCAAAAUAGAACGUCAAAUAUUGAUGGAAGAGAAAUCUCCAAGUUCACAACUUGAGAGUUUAUUUGAAGCUAUACAACUAAGCUUGAGAAAUGAUCAAAACUCCGGAUUGAUAAGAGACUCCUACUUAGAAAUGGCCUUAUUAUUUUUACAUAUGAGGAAGCCAAAAAACAAUCUUUCAACACCACCAUUAACACUUAAGACUCCUACCAGAAGGCAUAGUUCUAUUAAAGAACCAACAGUAAAUCGAUUUGAAAUGUACAGUUCACUGGCCUGGACUGUGAUAAGAGCUGCUGCCCAGGUCAGUGAAGCUGUGCUAGCAGCUAACCUACUUAUUGGAAAGAAGAAUGCUAGAACUGAUAAAGUCAGCCAAGGGGCCUUACCAAAUAUCCCCGAAUUUGCCACUGUGGAUCUUUUGUCUUCAUAUACAGAUUAUUUGCUUGAUAACUACCAAGUGGUGUUCCAGACUGCCUGUACAUUUUCUUAUCAAAAUGAUGGCAUGUGUGACAACACAGAUGCUAGAAAAAAGACUCCGACUAAAGUGGAUAUUACGUGGAUUCUUCUACUGCGCUACUAUAUUCAUCUGCAAAGGAUUAAUAAUAUGAGCAAAUUGCUAGCAUCUCCAAAGCCAGGAUCUGGAAUUUCUUUGCCAGAUGAUACACUUCUCACAUCCCUUUUCAACUCUGGGCUGAUAUUGCGCCAAAAGGAAAUGCAUUUUUUCCUUAAAAGAUUUUUACAGCUGUAUUCUUCCUCUUGUAUUGAUGAAUUUCCAAAAGAACUAUGUCAAGGAGUGGAAACUACAUUUUUCUCAGAAAAAACCUUAUAUAACUCAGUCAAGGUAUGUCAUGACAGUACUCUAUGCUCUGAUUCAUCAUUAAAGCUCUCUGCCAGCCCAUCUUCAGGAGAUGUGUCAUCAGAUAUGAACAUACAAGAUUUAAACAAAGAACUUUGCUUUCAAUGGUACAUUCCUCCUCUAGAAAGACCCCCAAAGGAAACAGAACCUAUGGUUUUAUUGUUGUAUGCAUAUAACAUGAGGCCCCAGAAUAUUUCAGAUGCUGUGCCUAAUAGCACUUGCAGCGAUGUCUGUGUUGGCUCUUUCUGGGUUCCACUGAACAGGGUUAUUUCAAUUCAUGAGAAACUAUCUAAUCUUACGCAAAUAGCUGAAAUAUCAUUGCCAACAACUCCUGAAAUUACUUCAGAUGAAAAUGUAUCCGAAAUGCAAGAAAUGGAAGAGAAAUCGGUUGAUAAGGAAAUGGAAAACAUGAUUAUUGAAUGUUGCUCUGAAAUAAUAAAUCUAUUUUUGACUGAUAGAGAUACAACACCAUUGUCUGAGACUUCUAUCCUUUCUAGGAAGCCAGAAUCAUCACCAUUUCUUUAAUACUGCUCCUUGCAAGCCUAACCUACUUGAACUAAUUUUCAGUCUGCUUACCUGCCAAGCCGUUCCCUUCCUUUCUCUCCACAAAGCCUUUCUUGAUCCAGGAAAAGGAACCAGGAUUCCUCGGUCCCAUUUGCUAUCUCGCUGCCAUCUAUAUUCAAUCUUGAGAGACUUUUUGAUCUUGCUAACGGUUGUAUUAUAUCAGGAGGCAGCC
Neofelis nebulosa (Clouded leopard) is the source of this 9834-nucleotide RNA transcript. It is a transcript of the gene named cilia and flagella associated protein 54, with no coding region annotated. The record is from RefSeq and is a predicted model, not a curated record. The transcript is spliced from 69 exons. NCBI's taxonomy places the organism in Eukaryota, Metazoa, Chordata, Mammalia, Carnivora, Felidae.